UAUUUUCUAAAUCGGACGACUGCCCCCGGGUUAUCUGCGUAUCGGCGGUGUGUUCUCCGCUAGAACCCGAGACCCGCACACCAGGGGAGGACGCAGCCCGAGGGGCCACCUGCAAGCCAGGCGUGGAGUCUCUCCAGGAACCGAGUCAGCUGGCACUGUGAGCUUGGACCCUCCGGCUUCCCGAACUGUGAGAAACACAUUUCUGUUGCUUAAGCCACCAGGUGCGUGGAGCGCGCGUGUGAAAGUUGGAUGGGGUGGGCCCCUGAGGCCCCACGUGUCGGACAGAGCCCAACACGUGCAGUGCUGGUGUGUGGACUCCCCCGCCACCCACGGCCCCUGGAGCUUGAGCGAGGCAGUCCUGCAGGUGAUGGGCAUGGAAGACAAUCCAGAGGCAAGUUGUGC
Myotis davidii is the source of this 402-nucleotide long non-coding RNA. RefSeq lists it as uncharacterized. The transcript has 3 exons. NCBI's taxonomy places the organism in Eukaryota, Metazoa, Chordata, Mammalia, Chiroptera, Vespertilionidae. The record is from RefSeq and is a predicted model, not a curated record.